This 451-nucleotide ribosomal RNA is filed under the name uncultured bacterium. Its description in RNAcentral is "partial 16S ribosomal RNA". It matches the Rfam family "Bacterial small subunit ribosomal RNA", at positions 29 to 523 of the family's 1533-position model. The record is from RNAcentral.
AGCGAACGCUGGCGGCAGGCCUAACACAUGCAAGUCGAGCGGCCGUAGCAAUACGGCAGCGGCAGACGGGAGAGUAACACGUGGGAACGCGCCCUUUGGUUCGGAAUAACUCAGGGAAACUUGAGCUAAUACCGGAUAAGCCCUUACGGGGAAAGAUUUAUCGCCAAAGGAACGGCCCGCGUCCGAUUAGCUAGUUGGUGAGGUAACGGCUCACCAAGGCGACGAUCGGUAGCUGGUCUGAGAGGAUGACCAGCCUCACUGGGACUGAGACACGGCCCAGACUCCUACGGGAGGCAGCAGUGGGGAAUAUUGGACAAUGGGCGCAAGCCUGAUCCAGCCAUGCCGCGUGAGUGAUGAAGGCCUUAGGGUUGUAAAGCUCUUUUAGCAGGGAAGAUAAUGACGGUACCUGCAGAAAAAGCCCCGGCUAACUUCGUGCCAGCCGCCGCCGUAA